This 103-nucleotide non-coding RNA is filed under the name Halomonas sp. RNAcentral's name for it is "TPP sequence". It matches the Rfam family "TPP riboswitch aptamer (THI element)". From Rfam's summary of the family: Vitamin B(1) in its active form thiamin pyrophosphate (TPP) is an essential coenzyme that is synthesised by coupling of pyrimidine and thiazole moieties in bacteria. The previously detected thiamin-regulatory element, thi box was extended, resulting in a new, highly conserved RNA secondary structure, the THI element, which is widely distributed in eubacteria and also occurs in some archaea. Analysis of operon structures identified a large number of new candidate thiamin-regulated genes, mostly transporters, in various prokaryotic organisms. Lineage: Bacteria; Pseudomonadati; Pseudomonadota; Gammaproteobacteria; Oceanospirillales; Halomonadaceae. The record is from RNAcentral.
CACUGUCGCCAGGGGAGCCCCAACGGGCUGAGAGUGCGCUUCGCGCUUACCCUGGAACCUGAUCCGGAUGAUACCGGCGGAGGAAGUGCGACAUGCCUUACCU